This 775-nucleotide ribosomal RNA is filed under the name uncultured Neocallimastigales. Its description in RNAcentral is "partial large subunit ribosomal RNA". It matches the Rfam family "Eukaryotic large subunit ribosomal RNA", at positions 23 to 616 of the family's 3401-position model. Lineage: Eukaryota; Fungi; Neocallimastigomycota; Neocallimastigomycetes; Neocallimastigales. The record is from RNAcentral.
AGAGAGAGACAUGCGUGCAUAUCAAUAAGCGGAGGAAAAGAAACUAACAAGGAUUCCCCUAGUAACGGCGAGUGAAGCGGGAAGAGCUCAAAUUUGAAAUCUUAAAGGGUUUCCCUUUACGAAUUGUAGUUUAAAGGAAGUGUUUUCUGUUGAGGUUUUUGUAAAAGUUCUUUGGAAUAGGACAUCAUAGAGGGUGAGAAUCCCGUAUUUGACCUUUACUUUCAACUUUGUGAUACACUUUCAAAGAGUCGGAUUGUUUGGGAAUGCAGUCCAAAAUGGGUGGUAAAUUUCAUCUAAAGCUAAAUAUUGGCGAGAGGCCGAUAGCGAACAAGUACCGUGAGGGAAAGAUGAAAAGAACUUUGAAAAGAGAGUUAAACAGUACGUGAAAUUGUCAAAAGGGAAGCGUUUGACACCAGUGUUGUUUUUCUGAAAAUCAAUUAAAGAACUGUUUAUGCUAAGUUGUUUAGACUUUAUCAGCUAACUGUUUAGUUUUGAGCUUUUCUUUAAUGCACUUUUCAGUUAACAAGUCAACAUCAAUUUCUUUUGCUGUAAAAAAGCUUGAGGAAGGUGGCUUGAGAUUCGUCUUAAGUGUUUAUAGCCUCUUGCCUAUGCAGUCGGAGAGAUUGAGGUCUGCAGCGUAGAUCCUUCGGGGCUAAAUGCAUUUGUGCUAAGUUAUAGCAUUUUAUAGACAACUUGUUGACUAUGAUUUGUCUUGUAGCUUACUCGCUUAUGUUAUUUUACCUACGCUUAGGAUGUUGAGCGCAUGUCUCUCUCU